This 74-nucleotide transfer RNA is filed under the name candidate division CPR1 bacterium ADurb.Bin160. Its description in RNAcentral is "tRNA-Leu". Lineage: Bacteria; candidate division CPR1. The record is from RNAcentral.
AACGGUUGUAGGUCAGGCCAACUUAGCCUAUAAGCUAAGCUCAAAUGAGUACGUUCAAUUCGUGCUAACCGUUA